This is a non-coding RNA of Periconia macrospinosa, 100 nucleotides long. Lineage: Eukaryota; Fungi; Ascomycota; Dothideomycetes; Pleosporales; Periconiaceae. The record is from the annotation of a GenBank genome assembly.
GGACGUGUGGCCCAAUGGCAAGGCGCUUGACUACGAUCCUCUCUUUCAAGCAAAGAGCAGAGUAAUCAAGAGAUUCCAGGUUCGACCCCUGGCACGUUCA